Daucus carota subsp. sativus is the source of this 435-nucleotide long non-coding RNA. RefSeq lists it as uncharacterized. NCBI's taxonomy places the organism in Eukaryota, Viridiplantae, Streptophyta, Magnoliopsida, Apiales, Apiaceae. The transcript is spliced from 3 exons. The record is from RefSeq and is a predicted model, not a curated record.
GUCUUGGACAGGGGAGCUACUUCUAUUUUCCGUCCCCUGCAUUCUAGUUCCUUUUUCCCCAUCCGCUUGAGAUUUUAUGGUGCUAGUCGGUGACUGGUUCAAGCAAAAUCACAUUGAUUUGAAAUCAAUUUUGGACAGUGGAAUAAUCUUCCCUUUCCAGAUGGAAUUGUUAUUAAAGGACUGUCAGCAAACUCGUAAACUUUUACCAUUGAUCAAGGUAAAACUUAUAGGUUCCGGAUAUCAAAUGUGGGCCUUACUACCAACCAAGCACGUUCAAUCAGGUACGGACCUGCCCAGCUGCAUAUUGCCUUGCAGAUUGUUGCUAUAAUUUUAUUCAUCUAGUAAUGCAAAGUGCAAAACGAGCAAUAAUGUGUAUUUGUGUGUAUGUGCACGUCCAUGCGGCUGAGCUCUGCGCUGAUCUGCACGUUGAAUAUG